UACGUAGGGUGCUAGCGUUGUUCGGAAUCACUGGGCGUAAAGCGCACGUAGGCGGAUCCUUAAGUCAGGGGUGAAAUCCCGAGGCUCAACCUCGGAACUGCCUUUGAUACUGGGGAUCUUGAGUCCGGGAGAGGUGAGUGGAAUUGCGAGUGUAGAGGUGAAAUUCGUAGAUAUUCGCAAGAACACCAGUGGCGAAGGCGGCUCACUGGCCCGGUACUGACGCUGAGGUGCGAAAGCGUGGGGAGCAAACAGG
RNAcentral lists this ribosomal RNA (253 nucleotides) under uncultured bacterium. RNAcentral describes it as "partial 16S ribosomal RNA". It matches the Rfam family "Bacterial small subunit ribosomal RNA", at positions 524 to 776 of the family's 1533-position model. The record is from RNAcentral.